CUUUGCAAAGCAGUUGGACUAGAUGGCCCUCAGAGGUUACUUCCAAUUCUAAGGAUUCUAUGAUUCUGUUCUAUGCUGCCCUGUAACACCAGCAGUUCCUCCAGGUCUCUCAAGUUUAACCACUCCGGCCCUUGCAAGGAAAUUGCAAAGCCCCAUUUACCCAAAUGUUCACUUUCAGCAAACAUUUUAGAAGUUGUGUUGUGCAGGAAAUAGAACUCUGUCCCUUUUCCUGACUGAUGGGAUGUUUCUUGCCAGGUGCUCGCAGCUCUGUGUUCUGCCUUUCCAGCUGUCACUGCCUUCACUGGGGUUUGAAUACAGAGCUACUCAGCAGCCACACGGGAGAAGACUGAGCGUCUUUCUAGACAAACAAUUUACUUGCAGUUUCGGUUUUGGAGUGUUUUGGCAUGCUGUUGUAAAUCUGCCUGCUCCAGCACAUCUUCAUUUUCCUUCAACUUGGGGUCACUGCAAACGUACAUGGUGAUGUGAGCUGCAGGAUGUGCUUCUCCUCAAGGGGCAAAGGAAAGGCUUCUUUCUACGGAUGGACAGACUUUGUGCAGUUCUUCUGUACGUAUGGGGGAAUGUUACAGAAUUUCAAUAGGACCAGUUUAACUAUGAACAGCAAGGCAGCUGAGAUAGAGGGAAAAACAGCUUCCCGAAUGAAAUGGUGACCAUCAUAAGGAUGAUAUUAGUGGGCUUUGCCAGGUACUGCUUCUCUAAACCACGUCCCAGUAAAUGCUUUGCUGUGGACAGGGGUGGUUUCUGGUGUUUUUUUUCCCUUUUUUUCUGCAGUUGUAAUGAUGCUUGGGGCAGAGCCUCCUAGAAAACACAAUGAUCCUCCCACCAGUGAAGAAAUGAGAUGUCAUGGAAAUUAUAACCACAAGUGGCAACUACACUCAGAGCAUAGGGGACCUGGAAGGCCACAGUCUGUUUCUCCGCUGUUAAUGUUCAGAAGUCUACUUGUCCAGCCUCCUGCUUGCUGUGAAACCCUUCCAGCCUCGAAUCUUUGUUAACUGUAUAGAUAUCUUUAAAAUAUCAGAAGAAUGGCUUUUGGAAGGACAAAAAACUGUAUUUAAGGCUGCAUUGCUUUUCUUUACGUCUUUCUUGUUGCUCAGUUAUUUUGUUUUCUGUGACUCAAGGCCUAAGAUUCACUGUACCAUUUGACACAUUUAGCUUCACAAAAGAGCCCCAUGGCUUGUAAUUAAUAAGAGAUGCUAUAAUCAUA
RNAcentral lists this long non-coding RNA (1222 nucleotides) under Gallus gallus (chicken). RNAcentral's name for it is "lncRNA (ENSGALG00010019883.1)". Lineage: Eukaryota; Metazoa; Chordata; Aves; Galliformes; Phasianidae. The record is from RNAcentral.